UGGAAUGAACAUCAAGCUCAGAACCCGAAACUAGUGUAAGUCACCUUUGCUAAAUCUAUCCAUGACUCCAUGAUGAGCAAAUAAAUAUACUGGAGCUAGGCAAUAACACGGUCUCUGUCUUGCUGUCAUAGUUUUUGUGUUAAUAAGUAGGUUACAACUUCUACUGUAGUUCUCUGUAUUAUGGAGGCGUAAUUGAUUGUUUAUUCAAAGGUUGAAGUCUAAAUUGGAGAAAAGUAGAGGUAUUAGUAAGAAAGGGAUAGUGUGGGUGACUGACUGGUGUCUGUUGGGGGUUGGUAUUGUGUGUGAAGGUUAGUAUGCAUGAUCUAUUGGCACUAGGGGGAUGGGUGGAUAUACUACCUAGUACUGGUCCAGAAGACACGUAGUAACUGUACUGGUGCAUGUCCUGUAUUGAUGACAUCUAAAAGCAAAUAUAUGUUGUCUGUCUUUGAAGGCGCUAAUGCAUAUGUGUGCCUCCGUUCUCAAGUACAUCUGUGACGUACACAGCUGGACAGAGGAGGGGGAGGAAGUCCACUGUCAACACCCUGACCUGUACGAUGAUGAUCGUGGCAAGACGAAGUGGCUGUCCGUGGACUCAGUUGUGACCUCUCGGCAGUUGUGUUGGACAAAUGUUUCACAACAGAUCUCUCACACAUGGCCAGAUUCAAACAUACAGGCCAUCUGGAGCCAUUCCACAGUGCUCUACUGAAGUAUACCCCAAAGCACCAGUGUUUUGGGCUCCUAGGCAUGAAGGUGCGGACUCAUCUUGCUAUCCUGGAGCAUAAUGACAAUGUGGGACGCAAACAAGCCAGGACAGCCAAAGUAGACUUGCAGUACAAAGAAAUCUUCUGCAGAGGUUGAAGCAGUGGGUGGUGAAGAAAGUGUACAAGCCCAGAACCUAUCACUCAGGAAGAGGCAAGACGGUGGUCACAAGCAGCCAGAGUAACAGCUCUCCAAACACAACAUCCCUGCCGACAACGCCACAGCGCCAAAGCCUGCUAAUCCAACUGUCAUUGCCCAAUACAAGACAAGGUUCAACAGCUGAAGAACAUUCUGGAACUUGCCUGGAACAUUCAACCAACACAACAUCUAUAUUCAGUUAUACUGAUGUUGUAGUAUAACACAGAAUGGCCAGUAUGCUCACAACUGUAUUCUGGUAUAGAUAACUCUAACUCUUGUACAUAUGUAUAUAAAGGAGGAUGAUAAAAUGUUUUCUAUAAUAUUUUUUACAAGUGUACUGACAAGUUACUAAAUGUUUACAGUUGCAUCAGAAACCAGUACUGCCCUUCCAAGCAAAAGUGCAGUAACGGAACAUUUGACCAAAAAUGACGUACCGACAUUUUUUAUACAUUAAAUACAUGCUUUAUAGUGUGGACAAAU
Long non-coding RNA from Oncorhynchus kisutch (coho salmon), 1377 nucleotides. RefSeq lists it as uncharacterized. The transcript is spliced from 3 exons. NCBI's taxonomy places the organism in Eukaryota, Metazoa, Chordata, Actinopteri, Salmoniformes, Salmonidae. The record is from RefSeq and is a predicted model, not a curated record.